This is a non-coding RNA of Arachis ipaensis, 540 nucleotides long. NCBI's taxonomy places the organism in Eukaryota, Viridiplantae, Streptophyta, Magnoliopsida, Fabales, Fabaceae. The record is from RefSeq and is a predicted model, not a curated record.
UUCCAUCAGAAAUAAAAAUAAAACAAAGUGGGUGUCCAACUCUAGGACAAGUACAAAGAAUUGGGUGUUUCUCAAAAUAUCACCAAAGUGAUAAAAGACAGCAAAAAUUGAAAGAAGAAAAAGGGAGGAAGUAGCAAAAACUUAAGGUUGGGGAGGAUUUUGAAUCUGUGAAGCUCGUUGGUACCCUCUCAUCGUCGCUGCAAGAGUCUCUGGCAGAGCUACCCUUUUUUGUUCAAACACCAACAAAUUCCGCACCUUCCAAAUUUCUACACAAAGGAUGCCAAUGCCAACUACAUCAUUUGUCGCGCUUCUACCACUGAUGGAAUUGCUUAUUGGGGUUAUUGUCAGAAUUCUCUAAUGGAUGAGUCAUCGGAUCGAGAGUUGACCAUGGAGAGCCUUCCAAAGGUGAAUUUUCAUUCUAUUGGGGAUGCGUAUUGAUGAGCGGAUAAUUUAUACGCUUUUUGGCAUUGUUUUUAGGUAUUUUCUGGCUGAAAUUGAGGGACCUGAGAAAAAUCUGAUUCACAUGCUGAAAAAGGACUG